AGUGAACGCUGGCGGUAGGCCUAACACAUGCAAGUCGAACGGCAGCACAGUAAGAGCUUGCUCUUACGGGUGGCGAGUGGCGGACGGGUGAGGAAUACAUCGGAAUCUACUUUUUCGUGGGGGAUAACGUAGGGAAACUUACGCUAAUACCGCAUACGACCUACGGGUGAAAGCAGGGGAUCUUCGGACCUUGCGCGAUUGAAUGAGCCGAUGUCGGAUUAGCUAGUUGGCGGGGUAAAGGCCCACCAAGGCGACGAUCCGUAGCUGGUCUGAGAGGAUGGUCGGCCGCACUGGAGCGGAGACACGGUCCAGACUCCUACGGGAGGCAGCAGUGGGGAAUAUUGGACAAUGGGCGCAAGCCUGAUCCAGCCAUACCGCGUGGGUGAAGAAGGCCUUCGGGUUGUAAAGCCCUUUUGUUGGGAAAGAAAAGCAGCAGGUUAAUACCCCGCUGUUCUGACGGUACCCAAAGAAUAAGCACCGGCUAACUUCGUG
RNAcentral lists this ribosomal RNA (492 nucleotides) under uncultured bacterium. RNAcentral describes it as "partial 16S ribosomal RNA". It matches the Rfam family "Bacterial small subunit ribosomal RNA", at positions 29 to 507 of the family's 1533-position model. The record is from RNAcentral.